Molecule: ribosomal RNA, 375 nt
Filed under: uncultured eukaryote
Lineage: Eukaryota
Description: partial Bacterial large subunit ribosomal RNA
Rfam family: Bacterial large subunit ribosomal RNA
Source: RNAcentral
AAGUAGCGGCGAGCGAACGCGGAUUAGCCCAAACCAAUGUUGUUACGGCAAUAUUGGGGUUGUAGGACCACGACAUUUGAUGCAUGAUGAACUAGAACAAGUUGGAAAGCUUGGCCAUAGACGGUGAUAGCCCGGUAUAAGUAAAGCGUGCGUAGAUAGUGGUAUCCUGAGUAGUGCGGGGCACGUGAAACCCUGUAUGAAUCAGUCGGGACCAUCCGAUAAGGCUAAAUACUCCUGAGAGACCGAUAGUGAACUAGUACCGUGAGGGAAAGGUGAAAAGAACCCUGAAUAAGGGAGUGAAAUAGACCCUGAAACCAUACGCCUACAAGCGGUCGGAGCCAAUUUAUUGGUGACGGCGUGCCUUUUGCAUAACGA